This 305-nucleotide ribosomal RNA is filed under the name Heterospilus sp. MAS-2010. Its description in RNAcentral is "partial 28S ribosomal RNA". Lineage: Eukaryota; Metazoa; Arthropoda; Insecta; Hymenoptera; Braconidae. The record is from RNAcentral.
GAAACCCAAAAGAUCGAAUGGGGAGAUUCAUCGUCAGCUCAUUUUGUAUAUAUAUGAGUUAUGAUGCGAGUUACUCNUUGUAGUAUUGCUUGUACAUACUUGUAUGUUUAUUUGCAAGAUGUUGUCGGCGUGCACUUCUCCCCUAGUAGAACGUCGCGACCCGUUGGGUGUUGGUCUACGACCCNAGUNGGNAGACUUNUAAUAUUUUNAUAAUAUUAAAGACCCUUGGUGUUUUCUGACCGGCUGCUCGGCGGUACUCGUACGGUAUUUAGCCGCAUUUANUNUUGCGUCCAUGUCCGUCGCAA